CGGGGCGUAGCUUAGCUUGGUAGAGCGCACGCUUCGGGAGCGUGAGGUCGCUGGUUCGAAUCCAGUCGCCCCGA
RNAcentral lists this transfer RNA (74 nucleotides) under Candidatus Margulisiibacteriota bacterium. Its description in RNAcentral is "tRNA-Pro". It matches the Rfam family "tRNA". From Rfam's summary of the family: Transfer RNA (tRNA) molecules are approximately 80 nucleotides in length. Their secondary structure includes four short double-helical elements and three loops (D, anti-codon, and T loops). Further hydrogen bonds mediate the characteristic L-shaped molecular structure. tRNAs have two regions of fundamental functional importance: the anti-codon, which is responsible for specific mRNA codon recognition, and the 3' end, to which the tRNAs corresponding amino acid is attached (by aminoacyl-tRNA synthetases). tRNAs cope with the degeneracy of the genetic code in two manners: having more than one tRNA (with a specific anti-codon) for a particular amino acid; and 'wobble' base-pairing, i.e. permitting non-standard base-pairing at the 3rd anti-codon position. RNAcentral also lists the same sequence under 1 other name. Lineage: Bacteria; Bacillati; Candidatus Margulisiibacteriota. The record is from RNAcentral.